AUUGAACGCUGGCGGCAGGCCUAACACAUGCAAGUCGAGCGGAUGAAGGGAGCUUGCUCCUGGAUUCAGCGGCGGGCGGGUGAGUAAUGCCUAGGAAUCUGCCUGGUAGUGGGGGAUAACGUCCGGAAACGGGCGCUAAUACCGCAUACGUCCUGAGGGAGAAAGUGGGGGAUCUUCGGACCUCACGCUAUCAGAUGAGCCUAGGUCGGAUUAGCUAGUUGGUGGGGUAAAGGCCUACCAAGGCGACGAUCCGUAACUGGUCUGAGAGGAUGAUCAGUCACACUGGAACUGAGACACGGUCCAGACUCCUACGGGAGGCAGCAGUGGGGAAUAUUGGACAAUGGGCGAAAGCCUGAUCCAGCCAUGCCGCGUGUGUGAAGAAGGUCUUCGGAUUGUAAAGCACUUUAAGUUGGGAGGAAGGGCAGUAAGUUAAUACCUUGCUGUUUUGACGUUACCAACAGGAUAAGCACCGGCUAACUUCGUG
This 484-nucleotide ribosomal RNA is filed under the name uncultured bacterium. Its description in RNAcentral is "partial 16S ribosomal RNA". It matches the Rfam family "Bacterial small subunit ribosomal RNA", at positions 30 to 507 of the family's 1533-position model. The record is from RNAcentral.